AGUAUUAAGAUUAUUAUUAGUAGUAGUAUUAACGUUACUAUUGUUAUCAGCAAAUUAAUGUUUUUUUUAUUUAUUAUUAGGGUUAUCAUUUUUAUUAUUCAAAAGCAUUUUCUUUUUAUUAUUUAUUAGAAACUUAAAAUAUUUAUAUAUUGCACCAAAUCCAUGGUAUAUUUGGUGGGGUUUAGACAUUUAGUGGCUAAAUUGUGAUAUAUGGUUACAUCAUAAUAGUAGAAUAACAGGCACUUGAUAUAUUCAUUGUAAAUUAGUUUUCAUGAUAACAACAUACUAGCUCGUCUUUGGCCCCAUUUGUUUGCCUUUUAAUUGAAAAAUUAAGAGGCAACCUCUUAAUUUUUCAGAUAUAUAAUGUUUGGUAGCUUCUUAAAAAAUACAUCUUAAUUUUUAAUCUACCUCUUAAAAUUUCAGAUGUGUAUGUGUAUCUGAAUUAAAACAAAGGACAACUAUGCCCUCAAAAACACGGAGCCCUUCUUUUCUUUUCAUAUGUUUCCAUCGACUCCCGCUGCACCUUUUCUCCUCCAUCUCCAAUUCGUGUCCACCUCCCUCCAUUCUACGUCGCCCCCUCUGGCUCCUCUCUACCACCGGCAGCUUCAACAACCCUGCCUCCGCCUCCGCCAACUUCUACAGCAGAUAAUGUUGAAGCAAGAAGAGAAAUUAAGUGCAAGAAAAUUGUGCUUGAAUUGGUUUAAUUGAUCAACUUCCGGUUAUUAUUACGGUCUUUAGAUUAGCAACAUUUUUCCAUUCAUGUGUUCAAUAACAUAUGUGAUUGUAUUUGUAUACAUUAUUUCAUUAAUUUUUAUAUUGAUAUAAGACCUUUCCUAGUUUUACAGUUAUAAUAUUAAGAGUACAUUGUUUA
Molecule: long non-coding RNA, 871 nt
Organism: Lactuca sativa (garden lettuce)
Lineage: Eukaryota; Viridiplantae; Streptophyta; Magnoliopsida; Asterales; Asteraceae
Source: RefSeq, a predicted model, not a curated record